Molecule: ribosomal RNA, 253 nt
Filed under: uncultured bacterium
Lineage: Bacteria
Description: partial 16S ribosomal RNA
Rfam family: Bacterial small subunit ribosomal RNA
Source: RNAcentral
UACGUAGGGUGCAAGCGUUGUCCGGAAUUAUUGGGCGUAAAGAGCUCGUAGGCGGUUCGUCGCGUCGGCUGUGAAAACCUGAGGCUCAACCUCAGGCCUGCAGUCGAUACGGGCGGACUUGAGUACUGCAGGGGAGACUGGAAUUCCUGGUGUAGCGGUGAAUGCGCAGAUAUCAGGAGGAACACCGGUGGCGAAGGCGGGUCUCUGGGCUGACACUGACGCUCGAUGCACGAAAGCGUGGGGAGCAAACAGG